This 1195-nucleotide long non-coding RNA is filed under the name Vulpes vulpes (red fox). Its description in RNAcentral is "lncRNA (ENSVVUG00000016831.1)". Lineage: Eukaryota; Metazoa; Chordata; Mammalia; Carnivora; Canidae. The record is from RNAcentral.
AUGCGAGCGGCCUUGGCUGACCCCCUUCCCGUGUGCAGAGCCGCGGGGACAUCAGACGACCGGUCUUUGCCCUCAACGACCCCAGGUCCUGCUGAGAGGCAGCCCCGGGAGGAUGUGGGUGGGAGCAGGGACCCGGGGGCCACUGCCCAGCUGCACGCGGUGAGGAGUGUGGCCCUGGUGCAGCCCCGGGGCUCGGCCGCCACCCCCGAGCGACUCUGGGGUCCCCGCGCCCCCCAGAAUCAGGGACUCCGUUCUGAGUCGUCUGCUGAAUCACAUGGGAACCGCACGGAAGGGGAGCUGCAGGCUCGUGGACGCUCCGAGGCCCUCAACAGGCCAAGCUCCUGUCACGGCGCCUGCACCUUCCUGUCCAGGCCUUGCGCCUGGGCUCCCGGCACGGCCCCCGGGACGGUUCGCCCUCUGGCCACGGGCCCAGCUGUGCUCCCCGACGGUCCUCCGAACGGGCCCACACAGAGGGGUCUGCAUGCCCCUGUGGAGGCCGACCCCGGCGCCCAGCCUCGCUCCCGGAAGGACACGCACGGCCCUCCUCCCCUCGUGGGCAUCGCGUUCGCACCAGGGAGCUCAGGAAUAGCAUCAACCCUUCAUCGUUAAUCCAGGGAUCCCGCUCGAAGCUUCGUCCUUGGCCGCUGGCCCUCUCCUUACGCCUCAUCGCACGAGUGUCACAGAGGCGCGUGCGGUGGGAACACACACGUGUUUCGUGAAUCCACAAAGGAAGACCUUGCCCGGGGGGCGUCUCCCCUGCCCUGGAGGCCGCCCGCCGCACUGGCUACCGCGUGGCACUCGGCGAAGUCCCGGUCCUGCCCGCGGUCAGCAGCAUCCUUCCCCGCGUGGGGCGGAGCCUCCACCCCCCCCCCCAAAGGCCUGUGUUUCCGCUUCGCGGGUCGUGUCUGGCAGCACGCAGGUGUCAGAAAAUCUCGUUUAAGCGCAGAGGGAGGGCGAAUUUCGUCUCCGUGACGGCGCGGGGUUCAGGCCGUGACUGUUCCCCCUAAAACAUGCCUCACGGGGUGAUGGACUGCCCUGCCUCGGGUUCAAAACACGAAGCGAAUUUCCCUUUGCUAAUUUAGUCACACGCGACGAUAAAUCCCAGAAAUACGUCUUCUGUAUAUUUUGCAUUACCUUUUGCAGACAAAUACAGAAACAUGGUCAACAUUUGCAAUAAAAUUAUCAUAGAAAUGCC